CAGUGAAUAGUUUAUUAAAAUAUUAAUUUUGGAGAUUAAAGAUGAGUUUUGACUUUUUACUGA
RNAcentral lists this transfer RNA (63 nucleotides) under Menida lata. RNAcentral's name for it is "tRNA-Pro". Lineage: Eukaryota; Metazoa; Arthropoda; Insecta; Hemiptera; Pentatomidae. The record is from RNAcentral.